This is a long non-coding RNA of Bos taurus (domestic cattle), 563 nucleotides long. The record is from Ensembl. NCBI's taxonomy places the organism in Eukaryota, Metazoa, Chordata, Mammalia, Artiodactyla, Bovidae.
AGUGUCUUGUUGAAACAAGAGAGACUGACAGGUGGAAAACUGAGGGGGCUGUCUGGAAGAGUGUCAGGAAGAACUUAGAAUCUGAUUUGGACUUGAGCUGGCUUCCUGAUGCCUCUGCUGUGAGUCUUGCAGGCGCCGGGCGGACGAGGCUGGCUUCUCAGCUUGCUCCCUGCCAGCUUUCAGCUUCCUGCAUUUGCUGGGUAGAGGGAAUACCUUUGUUUCUGCUGCUCAAGAUGGAAGUCGGAACCGGGGAUAAAAAGUCUGAUUCCUGUUCUGCAAAUCCUCAAACAUUUAACGGGGCUCAUGACAGACUUGUCAAGAGGAUCAAGGUACCCAUUGUGGGUUGAAUUGCUUCCCCAAGAAGGAUCUGCAGCAAUCUUAACACCUGGGACCUGUUUGUGCUCAUUUGGGUGCUCUUUGCUUUCUUCCACAUGUGUCUAAAUUUGUUAAGAAUAUUGCACACAGACCAGCAUUCAGGUAACUGGGAUGAGAUGUAGCAAACAAGCAGGCCCUCUGUGAUAAUACCACAUGCAGCCUCGGGUGAUGAAAGCAAACCCAGUAAA